GUAGGUGGCAAGCGUUGUCCGGAAUUAUUGGGCGUAAAGCGUGCGCAGGCGGUUCUUUAAGUCUGAUGUGAAAGCCCACGGGCUCAACCGUGGAGGGUCAUUGGAAACUGGAGAACUUGAGUACAGAAGAGGAAAGCGGAAUUCCACGUGUAGCGGUGAAAUGCGUAGAGAUGUGGAGGAACACCAGUGGCGAAGGCGGCUUUCUGGUCUGUAACUGACGCUGAGGCGCGAAAGCGUGGGGAGCAAACAGGAUUAGAUACCCUGGUAGUCCACGCCGUAAACGAUGAGUGCUAAGUGUUAGGGGGUUUCCGCCCCUUAGUGCUGCAGCUAACGCAUUAAGCACUCCGCCUGGGGAGUACGGCCGCAAGGCUG
This 372-nucleotide ribosomal RNA is filed under the name uncultured organism. RNAcentral's name for it is "partial 16S ribosomal RNA". It matches the Rfam family "Bacterial small subunit ribosomal RNA", at positions 527 to 896 of the family's 1533-position model. The record is from RNAcentral.